Long non-coding RNA from Tigriopus californicus, 2488 nucleotides. RefSeq lists it as uncharacterized. The transcript has 2 exons. NCBI's taxonomy places the organism in Eukaryota, Metazoa, Arthropoda, Copepoda, Harpacticoida, Harpacticidae. The record is from RefSeq and is a predicted model, not a curated record.
UGAUAGCCAAGUUUCAAGAGUUAAGCUCUACCGGCGACCUUUUCUACCCUUGCCUUUCUUGCCUUUUUUGGCAUUCUUGGCCCGUUUUUUCUCGUCCAGUUUGCGCUUCUUCAAAAUUUGUUCCGGUCUCUGGAUCUCGUUCUUGGGUCCUUUCCGAUGUUUGGGCACGGAAUCACGGGCUUUCUUCAUAGCCGGAUGAUCCUCAGGCAAGCCUCCGCCCAUUUGUCCUGAAAAACAAAGGUAAAUGAUAGAUUUCUCAUGAUAAUCCAUCCAUCCAAAAAGGCAAAAUGCGGAUGGGACCCAAACAGACCCGACUCUACUACAACAAAUUCAUGAAAGUGUAAUACGUGUACUUAGUUAAUUCCCGGGUAGUGGUCAACCAAUUUUGGUAACGCCUUCUUUUUUCUCUUAAAAUGAACAAAAAAUCUUGUUUCAUUUUAAAGUGAUGUCAUGGUCAAGACUAAAAUAACUAGAUAUAACCACUACUCGUUUCUUUUUCGAAUCAAAAGUUUAUAAGUCAAUUUUGUCAGAAAUUGCCGAAUGACAAACUAUUAGAAUGAUUCACAAUAAGAACGGCUAUUUUCUUACGACGUAUUUCAAUUUGACUCAUUCGAGCAUUCAGCAACAGUGAACGCAAUUUCUUAAAAACUUAUCGCUCUCAGUUCCGAGACUUACUUGUUUGGGACCGUACACUCACCGAUCUGUUUAAGAAUAAUGUUUUUUAAUAAAUUAUUCAUUUUGCAAUAAGGAACGGCAACUCCAAUCCGUUAUUCAUUGAGGAGCGACUACAGCCCUGGUUAUUUCUAGACUUUUCAUAGUUCCCAUAUUCGUUUGUAAAAAAAACCAAGACUUGACUGUUCCGAUGUGACGCAAUUGCUAUAAGAUAUAUGAAUUUGACAGGCAGACGUUCGGUCAGGUGUGCGUGUGUCCUAUGCCUCUGUUCUUAAACAUUUUAGUUUUUUCCAAUAGUUUAAAUAGAUUAUUUGCUAUUUAAAUUACUUUUUUGCAGAUAAUAAUUCUCUUGAUAUAUUGUUCGCGACGAAAUCAAAGAGCAUACGUGCUUACGACAAACGAUUGCUUAAAAAAAUAUUGUAUUUAAUGACGGAAUAUCUUUCUCCAUUAAAACGGCAACCUCUCGAAGUUACGGGCGAGCUUCUGGAAGACGAACAGAUCGCCGUCCCAAUUCCAAAAGCAUGACCGUGGCUCCAAUCACUCUGCUAUGUAUGUACAAAGAGGUACUAAGUGCUAGAUGACUGAGCUUAGAACCCCGGUAGACGCUGGGCCUGAGAAUGAUGCUGAUAUUCCAAGCCCUUAUUGAACAAGUCAGGAAGAGAAAGAGGAAGAAAUGACGAAUCCGAGAUUACCGCAUGCCUAGCGCAUGAGGGAGUCAUUGUUUCUUUCGUUCAGAAGUCUUGGAAGCAUUAGACUUCUACUUUAGGUGGUAGCAUCAACGAACACAGCCCAGAGGUGUGUUUGUGUGUGUGUGUGUCCUUAUCAUUAUCAUGGGAGUGCGUCCGUGACGGAAAUGGUUAAUGAGAUUGGCUGAUGUUCAAACAUAUUGUAAUGACGAACAAUGAGGAUUCAUUUUCAUGUCAUCGAUUCCUCCGGAUCCUAUGUUACGUGGAUUGGACUCCCGAAGUUACCCUCAGAUCUUACGGGAUCUGGACGACAAUUGUCAGCGUCAUUUUACUCAUAAUUCAUAUUACCACAAAUGCCAUCGACAAUUUGUACUUCUAUGACGCCGUGGUUGACCUCGUCACCAUUCUCGUGAUUGCAAUCAAUGGGAUUUUUAUGCUGUACCAAGCCUAAAACUUGGACGAGAUUAGGUUAUGGUGGUACUUGACUCAUGGCCUCAGUACUCUGGUCCUUGUGGUAGCCCAUAUAUGCCAGUUUUGUGUGGCUUUUGUCAUGUUUGGCUCGUCCCCAACAUUGGCCGCCUGGUUUGUCAUUGUGAAAAGUUGCAUUCUAUGCGUGGCCGAGCCUUGGCUCUACUGCAAGAUCUUACGCGUUUAUUCUGCCAAAGAUGGGCCCUACACCAACGAAGAUUGCUUUUGUUGGUGGUGUUGCCCACCUGAAGGUCAACCUGGGGGCCAAUCACGACGAAGACGUCAGCAAAGGAGAGAUCUUCAGGUCAUCGAUCAGCCAGUUUGAUCAGUCACGAGUAACAAUCCGCUUCGGUCAAGGCUAUGUAGGGAGGGAUAUGAAAAUCGAGAUGUCCGGAUUCAUCACCACAAUAAUCGCCAAGGGAGGGAAAACAACGAGAAAUUGAUCAUCCAAAACCAGGUGGAAUUUGAUUACUUUCGGAUGGCUGCACUAGGUGGCGAUCGCCAUCAAUGUCAUGUAAUACAUUUCAGUACAGUGCAGUAAAAGUUGUUGACAAAUAAAUUGAUGGCACUUGAAACAACGAAACACCUAGCAAGAUCAGCGUGUCAUUUCCUUAUUUUCUUGUUUUGUGAAUAAACGACUCUAGCAAGAGAAAGAAAAGGAA